UCUUAGUAAGGUUUAUCAUUCUUUUUGGGUAUGACAAUGACACACUUAUCUUGUAUGAUUUUAAUUUUUAUGGUAAUCAGGUUAGAGUUUGUGUGUGGUUGUGGAGUUAUUUGUUGUACACUGUUACCAAGUUAAUCUGAAUUGUGCAUUUUCUUCUUUCUUUUGCAGAUAUAGAGAAGUUUUCUGCGCAUGCAGAUUGGGGGAGUUCUGAAGAAGUCCUUUGAAGAUGGUGCAGUGAAGCGUGAGAAGUUGUUCAUCACAUCAAAAAUUCGGUUGAUCUGCAGCUUGAUUAUGUCGAUACGUAUCCGGUAAGCAACAAGUUCUUUGAACAAAAGCUAAUUGUUUUAUAUUCCGACAGUUUCCAAGGUACAUAGUUCGUGAGAUAUUCUUUUGUUUAACAAAGAAAUACGAAUUUCUCCGCUGAAUAUAGAGAAAACUACUCUCAACUUGAUUGAUCGAUGCCAAUUUCAAGAUAGUUCAUUUAAAACUUAGUAAUCUUUCAUAAACCAGAAAACCCAAACAGAGUUCGAAACAAAGGAAAAUUCAAAUAAAAAACAUCCCAAAAAUAAAAAAA
Long non-coding RNA from Brassica napus (rape), 574 nucleotides. RefSeq lists it as uncharacterized. Lineage: Eukaryota; Viridiplantae; Streptophyta; Magnoliopsida; Brassicales; Brassicaceae. The record is from RefSeq and is a predicted model, not a curated record. The transcript is spliced from 2 exons.